This 250-nucleotide ribosomal RNA is filed under the name uncultured prokaryote. Its description in RNAcentral is "partial 16S ribosomal RNA". It matches the Rfam family "Bacterial small subunit ribosomal RNA", at positions 524 to 773 of the family's 1533-position model. The record is from RNAcentral.
UACGGGGGGUGCAAGCGUUGUCCGGAAUCAUUGGGCGUAAAGAGUUCGUAGGCGGUUUGGUAAGUUAGAUGUUAAAGGCGCAGGCUCAACUUGUGUAUGGCAUCUGAUACUGUCAGACUGGAAUUCGGUAGAGGUAAAGGGAAUUUCUGGUGUAGCGGUGAAAUGCUUAGAUAUCAGGAAGAACAUCGGUGGCGUAAGCGCUUUACUGGGCCGUAAUUGACGCUGAGGAACGAAAGCCGGGGUAGCAAAU